AUGAACGCUAGUUACAGGCUUAACACAUGCAAGUCGAGGGGCAUCAGGAAGAAAGCUUGCUUUCUUUGCUGGCGACCGGCGCACGGGUGAGCAACACGUAUCCAACCUGCCCUUUACUCGGGGAUAGCCUUUCGAAAGAAAGAUUAAUACCCGAUAGCAUAAUGAUUCCGCAUGGUUUCAUUAUUAAAGGAUUCCGGUAAAGGAUGGGGAUGCGUUCCAUUAGGUUGUUGGUGAGGUAACGGCCCACCAAGCCUUCGAUGGAUAGGGGUUCUGAGAGGAAGGUCCCCCACAUUGGAACUGAGACACGGUCCAAACUCCUACGGGAGGCAGCAGUGAGGAAUAUUGGUCAAUGGGCGCUAGCCUGAACCAGCCAAGUAGCGUGAAGGAUGAAGGCUCUAUGGGUCGUAAACUUCUUUUAUAUAAGAAUAAAGUGCAGUAUGUAUACUGUUUUGUAUGUAUUAUAUGAAUAAGGAUCGGCUAACUCCGUGCCAGCAGCUGCGGUAAUACGGAGGAUCCGAGCGUUAUCCGGAUUUAUUGGGUUUAAAGGGAGCGUAGGUGGACUGGUAAGUCAGUUGUGAAAGUUUGCGGCUCAACCGUAAAAUUGCAGUUGAUACUGUCAGUCUUGAGUACAGUAGAGGUGGGCGGAAUUCGUGGUGUAGCGGUGAAAUGCUUAGAUAUCACGAAGAACUCCGAUUGCGAAGGCAGCUCACUGGACUGCAACUGACACUGAUGCUCGAAAGUGUGGGUAUCAAACAGGAUUAGAUACCCUGGUAGUCCACACAGUAAACGAUGAAUACUCGCUGUUUGCGAUAUACAGUAAGCGGCCAAGCGAAAGCAUUAAGUAUUCCACCUGGGGAGUACGCCGGCAACGGUGAAACUCAAAGGAAUUGACGGGGGCCCGCACAAGCGGAGGAACAUGUGGUUUAAUUCGAUGAUACGCGAGGAACCUUACCCGGGCUUAAAUUGCAGUGGAAUGAUGUGGAAACAUGUCAGUGAGCAAUCACCGCUGUGAAGGUGCUGCAUGGUUGUCGUCAGCUCGUGCCGUGAGGUGUCGGCUUAAGUGCCAUAACGAGCGCAACCCUUAUCUUUAGUUACUAACAGGUUAUGCUGAGGACUCUAGAGAGACUGCCGUCGUAAGAUGUGAGGAAGGUGGGGAUGACGUCAAAUCAGCACGGCCCUUACGCCCGGGGCUACACACGUGUUACAAUGGGGGGUACAGAAGGCAGCUAGCGGGUGACCGUAUGCUAAUCCCAAAAUCCUCUCUCAGUUCGGAUCGAAGUCUGCAACCCGACUUCGUGAAGCCGGAUUCGCUAGUAAUCGCGCAUCAGCCACGGCGCGGUGAAUACGUUCCCGGGCCUUGUACACACCGCCCGUCAAGCCAUGGGAGCCGGGGGUACCAGAAGUACGUAACCGCAAGGAUCGUCCUAGGGUAAAACUGGUA
Molecule: ribosomal RNA, 1441 nt
Filed under: uncultured organism
Description: SSU rRNA
Rfam family: Bacterial small subunit ribosomal RNA
Source: RNAcentral